Cornus florida is the source of this 227-nucleotide long non-coding RNA. RefSeq lists it as uncharacterized. The transcript has 4 exons. Lineage: Eukaryota; Viridiplantae; Streptophyta; Magnoliopsida; Cornales; Cornaceae. The record is from RefSeq and is a predicted model, not a curated record.
CUUGGCCUUGGGUACACAAUCAUUCGCCCUGGUCCCCUAAAGGAAGAACCUGGUGGGCAACAUGCUCUCAUAUUUGAUCAAGGAAACAGAAUUUCUCAGGGCAUCAGCUGUGCCGAUGUGGCUGAUAUCUGUGUGAAGGCAUUGCACGAUUCAACUGCAAGGAACAAAAGCUUUGAUGUAUGUUACGAGUGUGUGGCUGAGCGAGGACAGGAGCUCUAUGAGCUGGU